Molecule: small nucleolar RNA, 136 nt
Filed under: Setaria italica (foxtail millet)
Lineage: Eukaryota; Viridiplantae; Streptophyta; Magnoliopsida; Poales; Poaceae
Description: Small nucleolar RNA Z247
Rfam family: Small nucleolar RNA Z247
About the family: Z247 is a member of the C/D class of snoRNA which contain the C (UGAUGA) and D (CUGA) box motifs. Most of the members of the box C/D family function in directing site-specific 2'-O-methylation of substrate RNAs.
Source: Rfam by way of RNAcentral
GCUAUUGAUGAUGAUGAAUUGAUUGGCUAUAUCCUCAAUGGAUUAAAUUCGGAUUAUAAUCCUUUUGUGUCUUCUAUGUCUACCAAAGAUUCUGUCAGUUUGAGUGAUCUAUAUGCUCAGCUUCUCUCCUUUGAAU